GAAACAGGGACAGGCCAGCGGCCCCUCAGGACUGGAGUUAGAGAGAGCUGGUCAAAGAGAGGAGCUCUGAACCAAAGGAAACGUUUUCCUGCUGCAGACUGAGCCGCUCUGCGUACAGCCUGCUUCUUCCUGGAGCUCCGUUUUCAUCAAACAGAACAACCAAUGCUUUUAAUUUGGAAAGGUGUACAAAUGCAGAAAUACCAGAGACUUCAUUCUGAGACGGAAACCUCAAACUGUAGAAAAGUGAGAGGAAAGUCAGCAUGUGAUGCUGCUGAUUCCGUCCCUUCAUCCAGCUUCAUCCACAGAGCGAGUCUUCUUCUGUUAUCCUAGUGUUCUAAAAGGUUUUCUGUGUGUGUGUUUUACAACAAGUGUGUGCGUGUUUUAUCCGGGAAGAUAAAAUAUGCCUUUUUGAGUGUGUGUCGGUGAGGAUUCAUUAAAGGCAAUGUGGGUCCUGAGAGACGAGCUCUGCUGAAACGCCUGCAGGCUUAAAUCCACAGAGUUUUCACUUUUUUGUUUAUUUCUUCUCUUUUUUUUCCCCAGCUUUUCUCUCUUACAUCCUGUCUGUCAUAUUUUUACUACAUUUACUCUAUUGUUGAAAUUGAGCUAGGCUUUACCAAAAAAUAUAAAUAAAUCAAAGAACCUUUUAGCAUCUCUAAUUCUUGUUCUGGUCUCCUUUUGUUUUUUCUUCUCAUCACUUUACAUAUCAUUAACAAUUUUUACAUUUUAUUGACUUUAAUAACGACACUAAAAUUAGCAGAAUCUGCUCAGUCAACUGAUAACCUUUAGUUUCCAUGUUGUUGCUCAUUCUUUCUAAUUUGCAUUACCAUUAACUAAGAAAAUUCCUCAUCCCCAGUCUGACUCAUUUCUACUGUUUAGAAAAAGCUGUUGCAUAAUCUCUUUUACUUCCUGGAAGUGUAACAAUCAAUUUUUUUCUAUCUGCAUAUCUUCCCUUUUUCACCCCAACAAAACUGUUCAUUUUCUCAUCUGUCCUUGAGAAGAAAGGGAUUUUACCCUCUUUUCAUUUUCUGCCUGUGAAUCUAAAGUUCUCUGCCUUUCUUUCACCCGCUCCCUUUGCUCUGCU
This is a long non-coding RNA of Gambusia affinis (western mosquitofish), 1081 nucleotides long. RefSeq lists it as uncharacterized. The record is from RefSeq and is a predicted model, not a curated record. The transcript is spliced from 3 exons. NCBI's taxonomy places the organism in Eukaryota, Metazoa, Chordata, Actinopteri, Cyprinodontiformes, Poeciliidae.